CCUACGGGGAGCAGCAGUGAGGAAUAUUGGUCAAUGGGCGAGAGCCUGAACCAGCCAAGUCGCGUGAAGGAUGACGGCCCUACGGGUUGUAAACUUCUUUUGUCAGGGAGCAAUUGAGUCCACGUGUGGUCUUAGCGAGAGUACCUGACGAAAAAGCAUCGGCUAACUCCGUGCCAGCCGCCGCGGUAUUACGGGGGAUGCGAGCGUUAUCCGGAUUUAUUGGGUUUAAAGGGUGCGUAGGCGGAAUAUCAAGUCAGCGGUAAAAAUUCGGGGCUCAACCCCGUCGUGCCGUUGAAACUGAUGUUCUGGAGUGGGCGAGAAGUAUGCGGAAUGCGUGGUGUAGCGGUGAAAUGCAUAGAUAUCACGAAGAACUCCGAUGGCGAAGGCAGCAUACCGGCGCCCAACUGACGCUGAAGAACGAAAGCGUGGGUAGCGAACAGGAUUAGAUACCCUAGUAGUC
This 460-nucleotide ribosomal RNA is filed under the name uncultured bacterium. Its description in RNAcentral is "partial 16S ribosomal RNA". It matches the Rfam family "Bacterial small subunit ribosomal RNA", at positions 338 to 795 of the family's 1533-position model. The record is from RNAcentral.